GUAGGUGAACCUGCGGAAGGAUCAUUAACGUGGGGCUUCGGCCCCAUUGAGAUAGCACCCUUUGUUUAUGAGUACCCUUGUUUCCUCGGCGGGCUUGCCCGCCAUGAGGACAUUAAAAACCCUUUGUAGUAGCAGUAACUUCAGUUAAUAAUAAAUAUUAAAACUUUUAACGGUGGAUCUCUUGGCUCGU
Molecule: unclassified non-coding RNA, 190 nt
Filed under: rhizosphere metagenome
Description: partial ribosomal RNA internal transcribed spacer region
Source: RNAcentral